UGGGGAAUAUUGGGCAAUGGGCGAAAGCCUGACCCAGCAACGCCGCGUGAAGGAAGAAGGCCUUCGGGUUGUAAACUUCUUUUACCAGGGACGAAGGACGUGACGGUACCUGGAGAAAAAGCAACGGCUAACUACGUGCCAGCAGCCGCGGUAAUACGUAGGUUGCAAGCGUUGUCCGGAUUUACUGGGUGUAAAGGGCGUGUAGGCGGAGCUGCAAGUCAGAUGUGAAAUCCCGGGGCUCAACCCCGGAACUGCAUUUGAAACUGUAGCCCUUGAGUAUCGGAGAGGCAAGCGGAAUUCCUAGUGUAGCGGUGAAAUGCGUAGAUAUUAGGAGGAACACCAGUGGCGAAGGCGGCUUGCUGGACGACAACUGACGCUGAGGCGCGAAAGCGUGGGGAGCAAAAGGAUUAGAUACCCUGGUA
RNAcentral lists this ribosomal RNA (422 nucleotides) under uncultured bacterium. RNAcentral describes it as "bacterial SSU rRNA". It matches the Rfam family "Bacterial small subunit ribosomal RNA", at positions 355 to 792 of the family's 1533-position model. The record is from RNAcentral.